GACGAACGCUGGCGGCGUGCUUAACACAUGCAAGUCGUACGGUAAGGCCCUUUCGGGGGUACACGAGUGGCGAACGGGUGAGUAACACGUGAGUAACCUGCCCACAACUUUGGGAUAACGCUAGGAAACUGGUGCUAAUACUGGAUAUGUGCUCCUGCUGCAUGGUGGGGGUUGGAAAGCUCCGGCGGUUGUGGAUGGACUCGCGGCCUAUCAGCUUGUUGGUGGGGUAGUGGCCUACCAAGGCGGCGACGGGUAGCCGGCCUGAGAGGGUGACCGGCCACAUUGGGCCUGAGGUACCGCCCAGACUCCUACGGGGGCCAGCAGGGGGGAAUAUUCCCCAAGGGGGCCAAGCCUGAUGCAGCAACGCCGCGGGCGGGAUGACGGCCUUCGGGUUGUAACCCGCUUUCAGCAGGGACGAAGCUUUUUGGGACGGUACCUGCAGAAGAAGCACCGGCUAACUACGU
RNAcentral lists this ribosomal RNA (464 nucleotides) under uncultured bacterium. RNAcentral describes it as "partial 16S ribosomal RNA". It matches the Rfam family "Bacterial small subunit ribosomal RNA", at positions 28 to 506 of the family's 1533-position model. The record is from RNAcentral.